GUCCACGCCCUAAACGAUGUCUACUAGUUGUUGGUGGAGUAAAAUCCAUGAGUAACGCAGCUAACGCGUGAAGUAGACCGCCUGGGGAGUACGGUCGCAAGAUUAAAACUCAAAUGAAUUGACGGGGGCCCGCACAAGCGGUGGAUUAUGUGGAUUAAUUCGAUGCAACGCGAAAACCUUACCUGGCCUUGACAUGUAACGAACUUUCCAGAGAUGGAUUGGUGCUCGAAAGAGAACGUUAACACAGGUGCUGCAUGGCUGUCGU
Molecule: ribosomal RNA, 265 nt
Filed under: uncultured bacterium
Lineage: Bacteria
Description: partial 16S ribosomal RNA
Rfam family: Bacterial small subunit ribosomal RNA
Source: RNAcentral